Molecule: unclassified non-coding RNA, 1911 nt
Filed under: Leishmania donovani
Lineage: Eukaryota; Euglenozoa; Kinetoplastea; Trypanosomatida; Trypanosomatidae
Description: gene:LdHU3.31.1110(CDS-product:hypothetical_prote in_conserved)
Source: RNAcentral
GCUGAAGUUGCAGACAACCCCCCAUACCCCGUCGAGGUUCGUGCCCAAUCGAUGCUCUAUCUCUUCUCACGAGUAGAGCACAGAAGUACGCAUAAUCGAUUCUGAAUACGCAGCACGCACGCAAAUCUGGAGAGACCUCGGCAGGCACAUCGAGGCAGCACCUUUGCGCACCGUCACGUACUACUGCACAGAAACUCUGUGUUGCUCUUCGCCCUCUGGCCUUUUUUUACCCACGCCCUUAUCGCUGGCUCCGUAUUCGUUUCUCUUCCUGAGCAACGCUCCUUAUUGCCCCUCCUGCCCACACCCCCGCCGCCGUCGUAGCACACAAUGAGUAGUAUCGCGUUUUGUCUACCUGCCGCGCUGCAGCUUGUGAUGCCUUCCUACAGGGAAGUGUCGCAGAGCGUUCCAUCCGCCGACAGCUCCAGCAACUACCCAAGUGAGCGUGGAGUGUUCACCGAGGUGAAAAAGGCACCCCUUGUCUGUCUCCAUGAACCGCUGACGUUGCAGCAGUGCAUACUCGCGCACGAGGCAGACAAGGAGCCUGAGAACGAUGAGACGGAGUUUCUCGACGCUGCUUGUGUGUACGUGGCGCGACGCCACCACCUGGACCAAGUUGAAGCCGCUUACAGCAGCGGCGAACGUGCACAAGUCUCGAACUGAGGAAGGGGAGGGGGGCGAAGGGGCGUAGUGUAGCGGCGCCGUUUCCUCGUUUUCCGUUUGUGCAGCUCUUUUUUGUCUUCUACGCUAUAGAAACACCCAUAAGCUUCCUUCGUUAUUUUUUCUCCUUCGAUGCUGCCUUCCGCUUGCUUAUCGUCUCUAUGUGUCUUGUGCAUCUCAUUUCUCCUCUCGUCUCCUUCUCUCCCGAGUUGCUCUGUCGGCUGUUGGAAGGGGUGUGUGCAGGGCGGGGGCUGGAUACCCCAUUGCUGUGAAGCUUCCGGCACACCGUCUUUUCAUCAGCGGAAGGCAGAAGGCGCACUAGGCACUCCGCCCGUUCGUUUCUCGGUGGCUGACGGACGCAACGAAAGCAGUGUCGGACAGCGGUGCCAACACAGGCAAGCUCGCAUAUAAGUGAAGCGGCCGUUUCCUUGUUUUUGUCGUUUUUUCCUUGUUUCACGGCUUCAACGCCCGCACAAGAAAUGGGGCAACAUUUUCUCACUGUUGCCACGUGGCCCUUUCCUGUGCCGCCGACGGGGCAAAGAGGGAGACGGCGGAAAGCGGACAGGAGAACCGCACAUCACAGCAGCGGCCGGAAGCUGGAGCGCAUCCUUUUCUCUUUUCUGCAUCCCUUUUUUUUUCGGCCCUUUUGGCUUUUGUUUCUUCUCUUCUUCGAGCGCUCCUCUCAUUUCUCUGUGUGUGCUCGGAUGAUGUGGGGGCGGCAAGGACGGUGGACAGCGCGAUGCGCACACGCAGGCACUUCCGCUUACUCGUCCCACGUGCAAUUUCGGAAAGGCAGAGGUCGCUCCCCUUCAAGGGGUAUUGGCUCGUGUGUCCUGGUGGCAAGGAGAUGUGGUCAUGUGCGUCUCAAGGCUUGUCGCCUCCCCGAUGGCGUCGUUGCUGUGCUCAUUUCUGUUUCGUAUUUUUUUAUAUUUGAUUAUUACAUUGCUGCCUUUUUCGCCUUGUGCGUUGGGUAUGCCGUACUCGCGCCUCCCUCCCUCCAUUCCUUCCUCUCUUGCCAUACCAUAGAACAUGUGCUCGCCAUACGUCGCAUGCGCGCAAGCACGUUUGGUGGCGCGUCAAAGAAAAUGGAAAAGUAUCCUCUUGUAUUGCUGUCGUCAAAGGCGUUCCAGACAGAGCACAUAUAAAUCAGUGCUUGCGUGAGCAAUAAAGGCAUUUCCAUGCACACGCAGCUCGCCGGCAAUGAAGUGCAGUGGGCUGACGCCUUCUUUUGUUUUUCAGACGAGGUGCGAUAUG